GAUGAACGCUGGCGGCGUGCCUAAUACAUGCAAGUAGAACGCUGAAGGAAGGAGCUUGCUCUUUCCGGAUGAGUUGCGCACGGGUGAGUAACGCGUAGGUAACCUGCCUGGUAGCGGGGGAUAACUAUUGGAAACGAUAGCUAAUACCGCAUAACAGUAGAUGUUGCAUGAUAUCUACUUAAAAGGUGCAAUUGCACCACUACCAGAUGGACCUGCGUUGUAUUAGCUAGUUGGUGAGGUAACGGCUCACCAAGGCGACGAUACAUAGCCGACCUGAGAGGGUGAUCGGCCACACUGGGACUGAGACACGGCCCAGACUCCUACGGGAGGCAGCAGUAGGGAAUCUUCGGCAAUGGACGGAAGUCUGACCGAGCAACGCCGCGUGAGUGAAGAAGGGUUUCGGAUCGUAAAGCUCUGUUGUAAGAGAAGAACGAGUGUGAGAGUGGAAAGUUCACACUGUGACGGUAUCUUACCAGAAAGGGACGGCUAACUACGUG
RNAcentral lists this ribosomal RNA (497 nucleotides) under uncultured bacterium. RNAcentral describes it as "partial 16S ribosomal RNA". It matches the Rfam family "Bacterial small subunit ribosomal RNA", at positions 28 to 507 of the family's 1533-position model. The record is from RNAcentral.